GCCAGGCUGGUAUAGUGGUUUGAGUAUUGGACUGGGACUCCAGAAGACCAGGUUUCAAAUCCCUGCUUGGGCA
Phrynosoma platyrhinos (Desert horned lizard) is the source of this 73-nucleotide non-coding RNA. Lineage: Eukaryota; Metazoa; Chordata; Lepidosauria; Squamata; Phrynosomatidae. The record is from the annotation of a GenBank genome assembly.